UACGUAGGUGGCAAGCGUUGUCCGGAAUUACUGGGCGUAAAGGGCGCGUAGGCGGUUAGGUAAGUCUUUGGUGAAAUCUUCCGGCUCAACUGGAAGCGGUCCGAGGAUACUGUCUGACUAGAGGAGCGCAGAGGAGAGCGGAAUUCCUGGUGUAGCGGUGAAAUGCGUAGAUAUCAGGAGGAACACCCGUGGCGAAGGCGGCUCUCUGGGCGGUACCUGACGCUGAGGCGCGAAAGCGUGGGGAGCAAACAGG
Molecule: ribosomal RNA, 253 nt
Filed under: uncultured bacterium
Lineage: Bacteria
Description: partial 16S ribosomal RNA
Rfam family: Bacterial small subunit ribosomal RNA
Source: RNAcentral